RNAcentral lists this unclassified non-coding RNA (377 nucleotides) under plant metagenome. RNAcentral describes it as "partial contains 5.8S ribosomal RNA, internal transcribed spacer 2, and large subunit ribosomal RNA". The stretch from base 1 to 105 matches the Rfam family "5.8S ribosomal RNA", at positions 50 to 154 of the family's 154-position model. The record is from RNAcentral.
GAAAUGCGAUAAGUAAUGUGAAUUGCAGAAUUCAGUGAAUCAUCGAAUCUUUGAACGCACCUUGCGCUCCUUGGUAUUCCUUGGAGCAUGCCUGUUUGAGUAUCAUGAAAUCUCAAAGUAAAUCUUUUGUUAACUCAAUUGGUUUCUACUUUGGUAUUGGAGGUCUUUGCAGCUUCACACCUGCUCCUCUUUGUUCAUUAGCUGGAUCUCAGUGUUAUGCUUGGUUCCACUCGGCGUGAUAAGUUAUCUAUCGCUGAGGACACUGUAAAAGGUGGCCAAGGUAAAUGCAGAUGAACCGCUUCUAAUAGUCCAUUGACUUGGACAAUACUUUUAUGAUCUGAUCUCAAAUCAGGUAGGACUACCCGCUGAACUUAAGC